AUGGCCGAUGCGAAACUGCCGGACCUUCAAAGCGGCUAUGAAAAAGGCAUCAGCAAUGUGCUGGCCGGUCUGGCCGGGCUCAACAUGGUCUACGAGGCGG
Molecule: regulatory RNA element, 100 nt
Organism: Mesorhizobium sp. Root554
Lineage: Bacteria; Pseudomonadati; Pseudomonadota; Alphaproteobacteria; Hyphomicrobiales; Phyllobacteriaceae
Rfam family: Pyrrolysine insertion sequence mttB
Source: Rfam